AUGGCAUAUGCUUUAUUUCUAUUAAGUGUUGUCUUAUUUAUAGGGAUUGUAGGUUUUUCUUCAAAACUGUCUCCUAUUUAUUGAGGCUUAGGGGUAAUUAUUAGUGGUGCUGUGGGUUGUGGUAUUGUGUUGAAUUUUGGUGGGGCUUUCAUGGGGUUAAUAGUCUUUUUUAUUUACUUGGGUGGUAUAAUGGUUAUUUUUGGUUAUACUCCAGUGAUAGCUAUUGAGGAGUAUCCUGAAACAUGAGGGCCAAGUACUGAUAUUUGAGGGGCCUUAUUAUUAGGAUUAUUAAUAGAGUUGAUACUGGUUUGGUGAAUAGUUGAAUAUGAUGGGGUGGUGAUCACGGUUGAUUUUAAUAGCAUAGGGAGUUGAUUUAAUUUUUGAGGGGGAGGGGUUGAUUCAUGAGGAUUUUGUAGGUGCAGCUGCCUUGUAUAAUUAUGGGUGUUGGUUGGUGGUUGCUGGUUGAUCAUUGUUAGUAUUUUUGUCGCAAUUGAAAUUACUCAGGGUAAUAG
RNAcentral lists this long non-coding RNA (512 nucleotides) under Homo sapiens (human). RNAcentral describes it as "non-protein coding lnc-INSL4-10:1". The record is from RNAcentral. Lineage: Eukaryota; Metazoa; Chordata; Mammalia; Primates; Hominidae.